UUCCAUACAGAGGUAAAAAAGAAAAAAAAUGGCGCAAUACUACUAAAUACAAGAAUACAAAAAGAAAAGGGGAAUGUGCAUUUGCUCUUAUAAGAUUCCGUUCCUUAACGAGGAAUUUAGUCACAUGAUGUUGUUUAAUUUGAGAUGUUGUUCAUAAUGUAGAUGCAGAAAUUAAUUAAAUCGUGGAAAGUUAAGACCAAAAUUAAACAAUUUGGAAUUGUACAUGUUGGUGGCAUAUCCACUUGUGUCCUUCGUAUUCCCUUCCAUCCUAUCAUGUGGUGUAGCAGCUAAUGGCUUCAACGCUCCCAACUGGAUCCCCAAAUUUCCUAUAAAAUCCCCCAAUAUCCCAAAAUAUCCUCUUAACACUCUUCUUUCAACACACCUAGAGUUACCUCCUCAAAAAUGGCAUCUCAUUUUAUUAACCUUUUCUUCACCUCUUUACUUGUUCUUCUCUUCCACAUCUCCCCUUCCACAUCUCUCACAUGUUCCUCUCAAACUUUCUCAGCCAACACUCGUUUCACCAAUUGCACUGAUCUACCUUCUCUCAAAUCUUUCCUUAAACACAACAUGUGUAAUUACACUGCGACAUUCAAACAUGACAUGUGUAAUUACAAUGUAAUUACACUGUGGCAACCAAACAAGUCAGUGUAAUUAUUAGAUUGGGUAAUUACUAGGCUGCUAAUUACUACCCUAGUAAUUACACCAAUUCUAAUUACUUGGUGGCUUUCCAAACAAACCCUAUUAGUGGAUAACACUUUUCCUUCCUACAUCAUGGAGAAAAAAUAAUUGAACGAGUAGGAAAAAAAAUAGGAGUAAUAAAUAGAGGAGAGGUUGUUAAAUAUUUCCCUCUCCAAUCUUAAAAUUACGGAUUUGAGUCAUUGAGGAAGCCGAGCAAAAAGGUAGAUGCUUCCAUACAGAGGUAAAAAAGAAAAAAAAUGGCGCAAUACUACUAAAUACAAGAAUACAAAAAGAAAAGGGGAAUGUGCAUUUGCUCUUAUAAGAUUCCGUUCCUUAACGAGGAAUUUAGUCACAUGAUGUUGUUUAAUUUGAGAUGUUGUUCAUAAUGUAGAUGCAGAAAUUAAUUAAAUCGUGGAAAGUUAAGACCAAAAUUAAACAAUUUGGAAUUGUACAUGUUGGUGGCAUAUCCACUUGUGUCCUUCGUAUUCCCUUCCAUCCUAUCAUGUGGUGUAGCAGCUAAUGGCUUCAACGCUCCCAACUGGAUCCCCAAAUUUCCUAUAAAAUCCCCCAAUAUCCCAAAAUAUCCUCUUAACACUCUUCUUUCAACACACCUAGAGUUACCUCCUCAAAAAUGGCAUCUCAUUUUAUUAACCUUUUCUUCACCUCUUUACUUGUUCUUCUCUUCCACAUCUCCCCUUCCACAUCUCUCACAUGUUCCUCUCAAACUUUCUCAGCCAACACUCGUUUCACCAAUUGCACUGAUCUACCUUCUCUCAAAUCUUUCCUUCAUUGGACAUUUGAUCCAGCCAAAUCGACUCUCUCUGUCGCUUUCCUCGCAUCUCCAGCUUCCCCUGAUGGCUGGGUUGCUUGGGGAAUUAACCCGGUUGCACCAACUAUGGUUGGAACACAAUCAUUUAU
Molecule: long non-coding RNA, 1596 nt
Filed under: Solanum tuberosum (potato)
Lineage: Eukaryota; Viridiplantae; Streptophyta; Magnoliopsida; Solanales; Solanaceae
Description: long non-coding RNA (STUB_LNC008955)
Source: RNAcentral